RNAcentral lists this ribosomal RNA (537 nucleotides) under uncultured archaeon. RNAcentral's name for it is "bacterial SSU rRNA". It matches the Rfam family "Archaeal small subunit ribosomal RNA", at positions 463 to 999 of the family's 1478-position model. The record is from RNAcentral.
CGCCGCGGUAAUACCGGCGGCUCGAGUGGUGGCCGCUUUUAUUGGGCUUAAAGCGUUCGUAGCUGGGUUAUUAAGUCUCUUGGGAAAUCCGGCGGCUCAACCGUCGGGCGUCUAAGGGAUACUGGUAAUCUUGGAACCGGGAGAGGUGAGGGGUACUUCGGGGGUAGGAGUGAAAUCCUGUAAUCCUCGAGGGACCACCUGUGGCGAAGGCGCCUCACCAGAACGGCUUCGACAGUGAGGGACGAAAGCUGGGGGAGCAAACCGGAUUAGAUACCCGGGUAGUCCCAGCCGUAAACUAUGUGCGUUAGGUGUAUCGACGACCACGAGUCGUCGAGGUGCCGAAGGGAAACCGUGAAACGUACCGCCUGGGAAGUACGGUCGCAAGGCUGAAACUUAAAGGAAUUGGCGGGGGAGCACCACAACAGGUGGAGCCUGCGGUUUAAUUGGACUCAACGCCGGGAAUCUCACCGGAUAAGACAGCGGAAUGAUUGCCGGGCUGAAGACUCUGCAUGACUAGCUGAGAGGAGGUGCAUGGCC